Molecule: small RNA, 982 nt
Filed under: Acholeplasma pleciae
Lineage: Bacteria; Bacillati; Mycoplasmatota; Mollicutes; Acholeplasmatales; Acholeplasmataceae
Description: bacterial LSU rRNA
Rfam family: Bacterial large subunit ribosomal RNA (bases 530-982)
Source: RNAcentral
CGCCCGUCAAACCACGAAAGUGGGCAAUACCCAACGCCGGUGGCCUAACCCGUAAGGGAGGGAGCCGUCUAAGGUAGGGUCCAUGAUUGGGGUUAAGUCGUAACAAGGUAUCCCUACGGGAACGUGGGGAUGGAUCACCUCCUUUCUAAGGAGAAAGGCUAACUAAUAAUUAGCAAAAGAUGACUACUAGUAAGUAGUAACAAUUCUCUAAUUUGUUCAUCAUAUUCAGUUUUGAGAGACUUAUGUCACUCAUAUAUAUAGCAACCACAUAAUAUAAAUUAGUGGGGCCUGUAGCUCAGCUGGUUAGAGCACUCGCUUGAUAAGCGAGGGGUCGAUGGUUCAAGUCCAUUCAGGCCCACCAUUAAUAUAUAUAUAAUUAUAAAUUGGGGCCUUAGCUCAGCUGGGAGAGCGCCUGCCUUGCACGCAGGAGGUCAGCGGUUCGAUCCCGCUAGGCUCCACCAAUAUAAAGAUUAGGGUAACCUAAUUGAGAUCUUUGAAAAGUAGAUAAAUGAUGUCUGAAAAGAAAUAAGGUUAAGGAACAAAGGGCACACAGUGGAUGCCUUGGCACCAAGAGGCGAAGAAGGACGGAACUAACACCGAAAUGCUCGGGGAAGCUGUAAGUAAGCGACGAUUCCGAGAUGUCCGAAUGGGGGAACCCACUAUGUUGAAGACAUAGUAUCUAACACACGUGUUAGAGGCAAUACGUAGGGAACUGAAAUAUCUAAGUACCUACAGGAAAAGAAAGUAAUAACGAUUCUGUAAGUAGCGACGAGCGAACGCGGAGGAGCCAGAUACCUAAGGUUACAAAAUUAUAUAAUAGAUGAAUGAUGUGGGAAAAUCAGUCAAAGAAGGUGAGAGCCCUGUAGUCGAAAUUAUAUAAUCCAUGGUAUCAGAAAGUAGGGCGGGACACGUGGAAUCCCGUUUGAAGAUAGGAGGACCAUCUCCUAAGGCUAAAUACUACAUGGUGACCGAUAGUGAACCA